This 1216-nucleotide long non-coding RNA is filed under the name Nicotiana benthamiana. Its description in RNAcentral is "long non-coding RNA (NBEN_LNC036239)". The record is from RNAcentral. Lineage: Eukaryota; Viridiplantae; Streptophyta; Magnoliopsida; Solanales; Solanaceae.
GCAAUAGUCCUCGGAGGUCAAACUGGUGAAGAAUGGAUGCUCAGUGAGCUUCAUGAACUAUCCUUAGCGAGCUCUGCCAUAUGAAUAAAAAGGAAAGGUAAUAAUCAAGAGAAGGUGUUGUGCUAAAUUCACAAUGAAAAUUUUGCCCCGAGAAUAAAGGGAGUCCCGAACAAACUAUUGCAGUGCAGUUUUUACAUUGCACCAAAUGCACAAAUGAUGAAUUCACAAUGAAAAUUUUGCCUCAAGAAUAAAGGGAGUCCCGAGCAAACUAUUGCAGUGCAGUUUUUACAUUGCACCAAAUGCACAAAUGAUUAGCAAGUAUCCUUGAAUUUGUGGCUGUCUUGUUUAUUCUUGUGUGACUCAUAGGGCAUGUUGAUCAGAUGGUUCUGUUGAGCAAAUGGUCUUAAUUGAGCUUAAUUUUGCAGGUUUGCAUGCGAUGAUUUCACUUGAUGCACUUGAAUUAUUCACCCUUUGAAAGCUAGCUGUAGCUUGAUAGAUCAGUAGGUUAUUCUGUAUUCUUAGGUUAGUUUGUAUUGUGUAUUGGAUGUGUGUGUUGUUCAACUUCUGUAAUUUGAAUCCCUUUGGGCAAACAUGGAAAAAAAGAAAAAGUAAAGGAAAAAAAGGUAAAGAUUUGUAGAACCAGAUGCAUGGAGGUUUGUAUUAGAUUUAUAAUUACCCUUUGUUAUGUUUAAUAACAGUUCAUGCAGUGACAUGUUUGUUGACUGCAUUCCCAGACUCGAACAGCUUAAUUAACCUCUUGCAGCAAGGCAAGCAAAUUGUUUUGAAAAGUCUCUUUAGAGGAUUUUUCAGUUCUUGCUCGCUCUCAGUUGUGCGAUUGCGUUAUAUAGGUGGUGUCAGUUGAAUGUAUUCUUAUGAUGUAAUGUACCAACACUGAAAAUCUAGAAUUUUUCUUAAUUUGGUUGAGUGAGGUGCAACUGUUUUACACUCGUAUGUUAUGUAAGUUUUUACUUGUAAUAUUUUUACUCGGGUAUAAUUUCUUCUGUUGUGUAUCAGGCUUGUUUAUGUUUACGGUUGUUUCAUACUGUAGCUCGUGUAGUAUCAUAAAGCUUUUUUUAAAGCUUUAUAUGGUGACUGAGAAUAGAAUUAUAUAUAUAAACUUCUGCGUUUUGUUGGGGAACAAAUGCUAGAAUACAUAUUUUGUUAUGAAAUCUCCUAUUUAAGGUGAAUGUCUAUAAUUAGAGAGAUUCUAGAGUUC